CCAAUAGCGUAUAUUAAAGUUGUUGCAGUUAAAAAGCUCGUAGUUGAAUUUCGAGACCGGUCUACUGGUCGUGCUUUUGUACGUACUGGUAUAAUCGGUUUCUCUCUUCUGACGAAAUAUAAUGCCAUUAAUUUGGUGUUUUAGGGAAUCAGGACUGUUACUUUGAAAAAAUUAGAGUGUUUAAAGCAGGCUCACGCUUGAAUACAUUAGCAUGGAAUAA
This 220-nucleotide ribosomal RNA is filed under the name uncultured Glomus. RNAcentral describes it as "partial small subunit ribosomal RNA". It matches the Rfam family "Eukaryotic small subunit ribosomal RNA", at positions 591 to 817 of the family's 1831-position model. The record is from RNAcentral. Lineage: Eukaryota; Fungi; Glomeromycota; Glomeromycetes; Glomerales; Glomeraceae.